Molecule: long non-coding RNA, 373 nt
Filed under: Sorghum bicolor (sorghum)
Lineage: Eukaryota; Viridiplantae; Streptophyta; Magnoliopsida; Poales; Poaceae
Description: long non-coding RNA (SBIC_LNC011487)
Source: RNAcentral
UGGAACCCUUCUCUUGGGUGAUCUAUGGUUUUAUAUACUGAACGCAAUAGAAACUUCAUUCGAAAAUCCAGCACUGUUUCAUCAGGCCAUUCAAACAUAAACAGUACAGUAUGUGCCAGCCAUUGUGCCAUACAACACCAACAUGAACCUGUACACGAAAAUGGGCACCGUAGACACGUCAGGGCACCAUAGACAAGUCAGCAAGCUGGACACCAUAGACCUGUCCAGAAUCAUUCAUCGGCCUUGUUUAGUCCCCUAAAUAUUUUGCAAAAUUUUUCACAUUCCCAUCACAUCGAAACUUGCGGCAACAUGCAUGGAGCACUAAAUAUAGAUAAAAGAAAUAACUAAUUACAAAGUUUACCUGUAAUUUGCG